Molecule: ribosomal RNA, 233 nt
Filed under: uncultured bacterium
Lineage: Bacteria
Description: partial 16S ribosomal RNA
Rfam family: Bacterial small subunit ribosomal RNA
Source: RNAcentral
UACAGGAGGUCUCAAGCGUUUGUUCGGAUUCAUUGGGCGUAAAGGGUGCGUAGGCGGCGCGGUAAGUCGGGGUGUGAAAUCUCGGAGCUUAACUCCGAAACUGCAUUCGAUACUGCCGUGCUUGAGGACUGGAGAGGAUGGCGGAAUUCCCCAAGUAGAGGUGAAAUUCGUAGAUAUGGGGAGGAACACCGGUGGCCGAAGGCGGCCAUCUGGACGGCUAUUGGACGCUGAGA